RNAcentral lists this unclassified non-coding RNA (228 nucleotides) under rhizosphere metagenome. RNAcentral describes it as "partial ribosomal RNA internal transcribed spacer region". The record is from RNAcentral.
GUAGGUGAACCUGCGGAAGGAUCAUUAUUGAAUGAAUGUAGAGUUGGUUGUGCUGGCCCCUCGGGGCAUGUGCACGCCUUCUCUUUCAUCCACACACACCUGUGCACUUGUGAGACGGAAGCCUUUCGGGGAGUCCGUCUGCUCCACAUAAACUCAUAUAUUUAAAACGAAUGUAAUUGAUGUAACACAUCUUUAAACUAAGUUUCAACAACGGAUCUCUUGGCUCUC